UGAUCCUGGCUCAGGAUGAACGCUGGCGGCGUGCCUAAUACAUGCAAGUCGAGCGAACGGACGAGAAGCUUGCUUCUCUGAUGUUAGCGGCGGACGGGUGAGUAACACGUGGAUAACCUACCUAUAAGACUGGGAUAACUUCGGGAAACCGGAGCUAAUACCGGAUAAUAUUUUGAACCGCAUGGUUCAAAAGUGAAAGACGGUCUUGCUGUCACUUAUAGAUGGAUCCGCGCUGCAUUAGCUAGUUGGUAAGGUAACGGCUUACCAAGGCAACGAUGCAUAGCCGACCUGAGAGGGUGAUCGGCCACACUGGAACUGAGACACGGUCCAGACUCCUACGGGAGGCAGCAGUAGGGAAUCUUCCGCAAUGGGCGAAAGCCUGACGGAGCAACGCCGCGUGAGUGAUGAAGGUCUUCGGAUCGUAAAACUCUGUUAUUAGGGAAGAACAUAUGUGUAAGUAACUGUGCACAUCUUGACGGUACCUAAUCAGAAAGCCACGGCUAACUACGUGCCAGCAGCCGCGGUAAUACGUAGGUGGCAAGCGUUAUCCGGAAUUAUUGGGCGUAAAGCGCGCGUAGGCGGUUUUUUAAGUCUGAUGUGAAAGCCCACGGCUCAACCGUGGAGGGUCAUUGGAAACUGGAAAACUUGAGUGCAGAAGAGGAAAGUGGAAUUCCAUGUGUAGCGGUGAAAUGCGCAGAGAUAUGGAGGAACACCAGUGGCGAAGGCGACUUUCUGGUCUGUAACUGACGCUGAUGUGCGAAAGCGUGGGGAUCAAACAGGAUUAGAUACCCUGGUAGUCCACGCCGUAAACGAUGAGUGCUAAGUGUUAGGGGGUUUCCGCCCCUUAGUGCUGCAGCUAACGCAUUAAGCACUCCGCCUGGGGAGUACGACCGCAAGGUUGAAACUCAAAGGAAUUGACGGGGACCCGCACAAGCGGUGGAGCAUGUGGUUUAAUUCGAAGCAACGCGAAGAACCUUACCAAAUCUUGACAUCCUUUGACAACUCUAGAGAUAGAGCCUUCCCCUUCGGGGGACAAAGUGACAGGUGGUGCAUGGUUGUCGUCAGCUCGUGUCGUGAGAUGUUGGGUUAAGUCCCGCAACGAGCGCAACCCUUAAGCUUAGUUGCCAUCAUUAAGUUGGGCACUCUAAGUUGACUGCCGGUGACAAACCGGAGGAAGGUGGGGAUGACGUCAAAUCAUCAUGCCCCUUAUGAUUUGGGCUACACACGUGCUACAAUGGACAAUACAAAGGGCAGCGAAACCGCGAGGUCAAGCAAAUCCCAUAAAGUUGUUCUCAGUUCGGAUUGUAGUCUGCAACUCGACUACAUGAAGCUGGAAUCGCUAGUAAUCGUAGAUCAGCAUGCUACGGUGAAUACGUUCCCGGGUCUUGUACACACCGCCCGUCACACCACGAGAGUUUGUAACACCCGAAGCCGGUGGAGUAACCUUUUAGGAGCUAGCCGUCGAAGGUGGGACAAAUGAUUGGGGUGAAGUCGUAACAAGGUAGCCGUAUCGGAAGGUGCGGCUGGAUCACCUCCUUUCUAA
This 1543-nucleotide ribosomal RNA is filed under the name Staphylococcus aureus. RNAcentral describes it as "16S ribosomal RNA". It matches the Rfam family "Bacterial small subunit ribosomal RNA". The record is from RNAcentral. Lineage: Bacteria; Bacillati; Bacillota; Bacilli; Caryophanales; Staphylococcaceae.